GACGAACGCUGGCGGCGUGCUUAACACAUGCAAGUCGAACGGAAAGGCCCUGCUUUUGUGGGGUGCUCGAGUGGCGAACGGGUGAGUAACACGUGAGUAACCUGCCCUUGACUUUGGGAUAACCUCAGGAAACUGGGGCUAAUACCGGAUAGGAGCUCCUGCUGCAUGGUGGGGGUUGGAAAGUUUCGGCGGUUGGGGAUGGACUCGCGGCUUAUCAGCUUGUUGGUGGGGUAGUGGCUUACCAAGGCUUUGACGGGUAGCCGGCCUGAGAGGGUGACCGGCCACAUUGGGACGGAGAUACGGCCCAGACUCCUACGGGGGGCAGCAGUGGGGAAUAUUGCACAAUGGGCGGACGCCUGAUGCAGCAACGCCGCGUGCGGGAUGACGGCCUUCGGGUUGUAAACCGCUUUCGCCUGUGACGAAGCGUGGGUGACGGUAAUGGGUAAAGAAGCACCGGCUACCUACGU
RNAcentral lists this ribosomal RNA (467 nucleotides) under uncultured bacterium. RNAcentral's name for it is "partial 16S ribosomal RNA". It matches the Rfam family "Bacterial small subunit ribosomal RNA", at positions 28 to 506 of the family's 1533-position model. The record is from RNAcentral.